AUAUAUUUAGUUUAUUACUAAAACAAUAGUUUGUGAUACUAUAAAUCUUAUAAUUAUAUA
RNAcentral lists this transfer RNA (60 nucleotides) under Phintella cavaleriei. RNAcentral's name for it is "tRNA-His". Lineage: Eukaryota; Metazoa; Arthropoda; Arachnida; Araneae; Salticidae. The record is from RNAcentral.